CAGUCGCCGCGGUAACACGUAGGGUGCAAGCGUUAAUCGGAAUUACUGGGCGUAAGGCGUGCGCAGGCGGUGUUGUAAGACUGAUGUGAAAUCCCCGGGCUCAACCUGGGAACUGCAUUGGUGACUGCGACGCUGGAGUGCGGCAGAGGGGGAUGGAAUUCCGCGUGUAGCAGUGAAAUGCGUAGAUAUGCGGAGGAACACCGAUGGCGAAGGCAAUCCCCUGGGCCUGCACUGACGCUCAUGCACGAAAGCGUGGGGAGCAAACAGGAUUAGAUACCCCCGUAGUCCCUGUCUCUUAUAC
Molecule: ribosomal RNA, 301 nt
Filed under: uncultured bacterium
Lineage: Bacteria
Description: partial 16S ribosomal RNA
Rfam family: Bacterial small subunit ribosomal RNA
Source: RNAcentral